RNAcentral lists this ribosomal RNA (164 nucleotides) under Calamus deerratus. RNAcentral's name for it is "5.8S ribosomal RNA". It matches the Rfam family "5.8S ribosomal RNA". Rfam says of the family: 5.8S ribosomal RNA (5.8S rRNA) is a component of the large subunit of the eukaryotic ribosome. It is transcribed by RNA polymerase I as part of the 45S precursor that also contains 18S and 28S rRNA. The record is from RNAcentral. Lineage: Eukaryota; Viridiplantae; Streptophyta; Magnoliopsida; Arecales; Arecaceae.
CAUAUGACUCUCAGCAAUAGAUAUCUCAACUCUUGCAUCGAUGAAGAACAUAGCAAAAUGCGAUAUGUGGUGUGAAUUGCAGAAUCCCACGAACCAUCGAGUCUUCGAAUGCAAGUUGUGCCUGAGGCCAUCCAGCCAAGGGCACGCCUGCCUAGGUGCCAAGC